UACAGAGGUCCCAAGCGUUGUUCGGAUUCACUGGGCGUAAAGGGUGCGUAGGCGGUCGGGUAAGUCUGACGUGAAAUCUCCGGGCCUAACCCGGAAACUGCGUUGGAAACUGCCUGGCUAGAGGAAUGGAGGGGAGACUGGAAUACUUGGUGUAGCAGUGAAAUGCGUAGAUAUCAAGUGGAACACCAGUGGCGAAGGCGAGUCUCUGGACAUUUCCUGACGCUGAGGCACGAAAGCCAGGGGAGCAAACGG
Molecule: ribosomal RNA, 252 nt
Filed under: uncultured bacterium
Lineage: Bacteria
Description: partial 16S ribosomal RNA
Rfam family: Bacterial small subunit ribosomal RNA
Source: RNAcentral